Molecule: long non-coding RNA, 366 nt
Organism: Ahaetulla prasina
Lineage: Eukaryota; Metazoa; Chordata; Lepidosauria; Squamata; Colubridae
Exons: 3
Source: RefSeq, a predicted model, not a curated record
GUAGGACUUGAGUGUAUCUUUGUUUGCAGCCCAGAAAUGUGUUGGCUUUUUGGACAGCUGCUGCACACUGCUGGCUCAUAUCUAAAUGGUUGUCCACUAGGACUUCAAGAUCCCUCUCACAGAUAGUGCCCAAUGUUCAAGUAUUUCAAGAUCCUUCUGUAUCAUGAGCCUAUCUUCUGGAGUGUUGGCUAUUCCUGCCAGUUUGGUGUCAUCUGCAAAUUUGAUGAGUUCCCCAUCUAUCCCCUUGUCCAAGUCAUUGAUGAAGAUGUUGAAGAGUACUGGGGCUAAAACAAAGCCUUGGAGUACUCCACUGCAUACUUCCCUCCAUGUACAUGCAGUUCCAUUGAGGACUACACAUUGAGUGCG